GAUGAACGCUGGCGGCGUGCCUAAUACAUGCAAGUCGAGCGAACGGACGAGAAGCUUGCUUCUCUGAUGUUAGCGGCGGACGGGCGAGUAACACGUGGAUAACCUACCUAUAAGACUGGGAUAACUUCGGGAAACCGGAGCUAAUACCGGAUAAUAUUUUGAACCGCAUGGUUCAAAAGUGAAAGACGGUCUUGCUGUCACUUAUAGAUGGAUCCGCGCUGCAUUAGCUAGUUGGUAAGGUAACGGCUUACCAAGGCAACGAUGCAUAGCCGACCUGAGAGGGUGAUCGGCCACACUGGAACUGAGACACGGUCCAGACUCCUACGGGAGGCAGCAGUAGGGAAUCUUCCGCAAUGGGCGAAAGCCUGACGGAGCAACGCCGCGUGAGUGAUGAAGGUCUUCGGAUCGUAAAACUCUGUUAUUAGGGAAGAACAUAUGUGUAAGUAACUGUGCACAUCUUGACGGUACCUAAUCAGAAAGCCACGGCUAACUACGU
This 496-nucleotide ribosomal RNA is filed under the name uncultured bacterium. RNAcentral describes it as "partial 16S ribosomal RNA". It matches the Rfam family "Bacterial small subunit ribosomal RNA", at positions 28 to 506 of the family's 1533-position model. The record is from RNAcentral.